Molecule: long non-coding RNA, 2400 nt
Organism: Asterias rubens (European starfish)
Lineage: Eukaryota; Metazoa; Echinodermata; Asteroidea; Forcipulatida; Asteriidae
Exons: 6
Source: RefSeq, a predicted model, not a curated record
UACAAAGUCGCCCCCCUGACAAUGCGCCCCAAACAAUGUCGCCCCCUAGCAAAGUCGCCCCCAGAAAAUAAUUUAGGCUACAAUACUUAUGGUAAACAUGGUGGUAAACAAAUAUAAUUAAAACAUUUUCAGAAAAAUUCUGUAUGAAGCAAUGUGCAGACAAUUUUGUUUACAACACAUCAUCGAAAUGUCUAGUUCUGAACUUUUGAAACCCUUAUAAAACAUUUAGCUUUCCACCAUUGUAUCCUCUAUUAGAAACAGGUAGUCUUACGCUUUAACUGUAAUUCUGUAAUAUUGCUAUUUAGCCUAUUAUAUUUAUAUCGUCUCGCGCAUGCUCGUUGUCAGCCGUCACUGUUUGUUGUGGAUUCAUUAUUUGUUCCUCCCUGAAUCAGUGAAUGUCUCACUUGACUCAAAUGUUACACCUGUAAUUAAUUAAUUGCUAUUAAGCCUAUAAUAUUUGUCAAAGACAGGUCCAACGUUUAUUUAGUAUUUGUUUAGGUUAUUCGCCGCCCGCCGCUCAGCUGCUUAUACUUUUCUUUUGUGGGGCCGCUUUACAGGGCGUUUUUUUUGUUGUUCAAGAAAUCAACGGGUUUCUUCUUCAGAAUUUACCACGCUAUGGCAACAGGAUAAGAUUAUAACAACUCAAAGUAACCAUAGAGCAAGGACUUGUCCUUGCUCUAUGAAUUCACGAUAUAGCUGACGAAGAUUUAUGAUUUUUUACCGAAACGUUGUACGAUUUUAAAAAUGAAAACAAUCUUUGUGCCCUUUGAAUAUAGUAAAAAAAACAUACGUGGUGAUUAUCGGUUAUUUUGGGAAACCACAGACUGCAAUGAAAAAGUUGAAAUCUUUUUCAGAAUUUUAAAAAUAAUAUCCAAGGAAAGUGAGCAAACCUAAAUAAACCACUGGUUAAAAGACUAAUGUGAUCAAUAUUCAUUUUUCCGAAAUACGGCAAUGCCAUUGGAUAAGGAACCUAAACAUUUUGACGUCAACAAAAGCGGUGACACCCCGCCACCACACCGCGCCGCUAUCUAGGAUUUAGCAGUGCGCAUGCGCGAGUUGAGCAGCGCCAUUUUACAACUAAUAAGAGGAUAUGACUCGAUGCGUAGUUCUUAAUUUCACCAAGGAAAGGUAAAUCUUUUUUGUUUUAAUUUUCUCCUGUCGAAAUGCAUUUCCGUAAACUGCUGGCAAUUCGUGCAUGGUAAUCUUUGGUUAUUUAGCACCUAAAAUACAUGUACAAAAUCCGCUCAAUUUCCUUCUGACGAUUUCCGUGCCCAAAACACACUGUAAUGAAUGCGUAUUCUGUUCACUGUGUGCCACUCACUGUGGUGGUGCUACAGUAGUUUACAGGACCUGCCUUACCGCAUGGUAUUCAGUAAAGAGCCAAGACACAGGAAGAAUGUAUUUGAAGAUGCAUUCAAGAUGUUUCAAGACUCAAGAUCGGAUCUGCACAUCAAGCUUGCAAGAAGAAGAUUGGAAUCAGGAAUCCUUGAGAAGAUGACACUCUGAGAUGUGCAGGAAGAUGUGUGGGGAGGCAGUCCACCUGCAAGGCCUCCCCUGAAAUGGCUGCUGAAGAGACACGAGUACAUAAAGUGCUAUAGAAGCUUUACUGUAGUGAAAUAUUUGCCAUCAUCCUGCAAUACACACACGGUCUAAAAGAGAAAUGACAAGACAAGCACAUAAGAAAAUGAGAUGAUGGAAAACCUCUUUAGUUGUUUGUGUUCUGCUCAGAUGUUGCCUAGCGACAAGGGAUGCUCAGUACUUUGAUAACAUCUUCUCCACAUUGGGAGAGAUUGAAAGAGAACAGGUGAUGAGGAGGGUGACUCCAGGAAUGCGGCCCCAUUACAAUGUGAGCAUGAGGCGACCACGGACACAUGUUUAUGCCAGACUGCAACACUGUAUUAAUGAAACUCAAUGCAUGCAUCAAGGACAUUCACCAAAGAGCCACUGCAAACACGAUGAUGCUUAAUGCUGCAAAGCAUUGGUUCUUCAUUUUACAUCAAGAUUUUCACAACAGCCACUUCCAGUCAUUUCCAUCACGGUUGUUGAUGUGAAACCACUCAACGAAAGCCAGAAAUCUCUGUGCAGUUAUGGAUGAACAUCUACAUGUAUCACUGAAGGCCCAUGUCUCUACCCUAUAUGCCGCUCUUAAAUUACUGUCAUCCAAAGAUGUUUUAAGUUUAGAAAAUAAUGAUCCACACAAAUACACCUGGAAAUUGUUUGGUUUUCCUUGGCCGUCUUGAACUAACAUGAUCUGCCAUUUUGGCAGACCAUCAUUGUUCACAAAGUAUUUGGAAAACCUCACAGUUUUUAGGAUCACUUCUUCCCUGACAUGUAAAAAAUUCCGAGAUUAAAUUUUGAAUAGUCUACCAACUAGUAGUUUCAAAACUAGCUAAACUUAAA